UUUGGCAGUCGUCAUGUUUCCUGUUCUGAAUUGAAGCCCUUCUGCUGUUCGAGUAGUAUCAGAGUUUUAUUUAGUUUUUCGCAGCAUAUCUAGCGUUGGAAUAUCAGAGUCUUUCAGUUCUCAGAAUUGAAGCCAUUUUGCUGUUUAAUGCGAUUCUGUGCCACUUCUGAAGCUCAGACAGCGCAACAUCAGCAGAGAUCUCAGAGUUGUGAUGGAGGUUUCUUCUCUUCAGCUCAACACAAGUCUCACAUGAUCCAGACGGACCUGUAAACUUUCCUUCAGAUGAAACUUCAGCACGUUCUGAAGAACACACAACAUCCCUGAGACAGCAGCAGCGGCUGAAGACAACACCAUCAUGAUCCCAGACUCCAUCCAUCCACACUACAGUCUGCUCAGACCCUCAGAGACCUGCAGACACUAUCAGCAGCAGGGGCUCAAGCGGAAACAGAGACACUUCUCUUGUUAUAAAACUAAUAAAAAAUAUUAAGGAAAAAAAAGGCACUUCUCAUAUUUAUUUAUUUUUUUCAAAAAAUAAAUAAAUAAAUAAAUAUAUUAACACAAUUUAAUUACCAAUUUAUUGUAAUUCCCUCACACUCACCCAGUUGUUUCACAUUGUUUCAUUUUUAAACAGAUGUCUACAAAUAAUCAGUUCACAUAGAGAACAUUGUGUUUAAAAAACUGAUUUUUUACAGGCUUCUGAGGCAGCGUGAUGGUUUAAUGAUCUACAACAAAAUAGAACGAGUUUAG
This is a long non-coding RNA of Cyprinus carpio carpio, 747 nucleotides long. The record is from Ensembl. Lineage: Eukaryota; Metazoa; Chordata; Actinopteri; Cypriniformes; Cyprinidae.